RNAcentral lists this ribosomal RNA (400 nucleotides) under phytoplankton environmental sample. RNAcentral's name for it is "partial small subunit ribosomal RNA". It matches the Rfam family "Eukaryotic small subunit ribosomal RNA", at positions 587 to 990 of the family's 1831-position model. The record is from RNAcentral.
AGCUCCAAUAGCGUAUAUUAAAGUUGUUGCAGUUAAAAAGCUCGUAGUUGGAUUUGUGGUUGUCUGUGGCCGUUCGUCACUUUUGUGGAGCAAUGGCUUGCAGUCACCAUCCUUGGGUGGAUCUUGUGUGGCAUUAGGUUGUCGUGCAGGGGAUGCCCAUCGUUUACUGUGAAAAAAUUAGAGUGUUCAAAGCAGGCUUAUGCCGUUGAAUAUAUUAGCAUGGAAUAAUAAGAUAGGACCUUGGUACUAUUUUGUUGGUUUGCGCACCAAGGUAAUGAUUAAUAGGGACAGUUGGGGGUAUUCGUAUUCCAUUGUCAGAGGUGAAAUUCUUGGAUUUUUGGAAGACGAACUACUGCGAAAGCAUUUACCAAGGAUGUUUUCAUUAAUCAAGAACGAAAGU